This 717-nucleotide long non-coding RNA is filed under the name Brassica napus (rape). RNAcentral describes it as "long non-coding RNA (BNAP_LNC017017)". Lineage: Eukaryota; Viridiplantae; Streptophyta; Magnoliopsida; Brassicales; Brassicaceae. The record is from RNAcentral.
UUGACUGAGUUAUGUAUAAGAAAUGUCUGAGCUAUGACAAAGAAUUGGCUGAGUUAUCAGUAAAAAAAAGUUCGUGUUUCGGCUGAGUUAUGUAUAAUUAUUGUCUGAGUUUUGAUAGAUAUGUCUUUCGUGUUGAACAUUCAUGACGUUUGAAAAUGGUCGGGAAUGAAGCAGUAAGUCGGCCCCACUCAUUAAUUUAUCCUUCUCGAAGAAUAUCCAAGAUCGCCUGCGAGAGGGUGUGUAAAAAUUUGAACCACGUAAAAUUUGUUAUAUCAACAAAGACACUCGCACCUGGUUUUAGAACCGUGGUAGUUAUGGGAGGUCGAGCGUAACAUGUACAUUCUCUCCUUGAUGGAGAGUAAUGGUAAAGACGAGUGAGACGAGAACGAGACGAAGUGAGAGAGAUGAGAGAAAACCAGUAAGCAUGGAGAUAGAUGGCAGAGAUGAGAGUGAAGAAGAGGAAGAUAAAAAGAAGAUUCAUACUGAAAAAAAAAGUGAAGAGAAUGAAAAAAAAAGUGAAAAGAAUUGGCUGAGUUAUCAGUAAAAAAAGUUCGUGUUUCGGCUGAGUUAUGUAUAAUUAUUGUCUGAGUUUUGAUAGAUAUGUCUUUCGUGUUUGAACAUUCAUGACGUUUGAAAAUGGUCAGGAAUGAAGCAGUAAGUCGGCCCCACUCAUUAACUUAUCCUUCUCGAAGAAUAUCCAAGAUCGCCUGCGAGAGG